AGAGUUUGAUCCUGGCUCAGAGUGAACGCUGGCGGCGUGCCUAAUACAUGCAAGUCGAACGAUGAAAUUUCUAGCUUGCUAGAAAUGGAUUAGUGGCGCACGGGUGAGUAACGCAUAGGUCAUGUGCCUCUUAGUUUGGGAUAGCCAUUGGAAACGAUGAUUAAUACCAGAUACUCCCUACGGGGGAAAGAUUUAUCGCUAAGAGAUCAGCCUAUGUCCUAUCAGCUUGUUGGUAAGGUAAUGGCUUACCAAGGCUAUGACGGGUAUCCGGCCUGAGAGGGUGAACGGACACACUGGAACUGAGACACGGUCCAGACUCCUACGGGAGGCAGCAGUAGGGAAUAUUGCUCAAUGGGGGAAACCCUGAAGCAGCAACGCCGCGUGGAGGAUGAAGGUUUUAGGAUUGUAAACUCCUUUUGUUAGAGAAGAUAAUGACGGUAUCUAACGAAUAAGCACCGGCUAACUCCGUGCCAGCAGCCGCGGUAAUACGGAGGGUGCAAGCGUUACUCGGAAUCACUGGGCGUAAAGAGCGCGUAGGCGGGAUAGUCAGUCAGGUGUGAAAUCCUAUGGCUUAACCAUAGAACUGCAUUUGAAACUACUAUUCUAGAGUGUGGGAGAGGUAGGUGGAAUUCUUGGUGUAGGGGUAAAAUCCGUAGAGAUCAAGAGGAAUACUCAUUGCGAAGGCGACCUGCUGGAACAUUACUGACGCUGAUUGCGCGAAAGCGUGGGGAGCAAACAGGAUUAGAUACCCUGGUAGUCCACGCCCUAAACGAUGGAUGCUAGUUGUUGGAGGGCUUAGUCUCUCCAGUAAUGCAGCUAACGCAUUAAGCAUCCCGCCUGGGGAGUACGGUCGCAAGAUUAAAACUCAAAGGAAUAGACGGGGACCCGCACAAGCGGUGGAGCAUGUGGUUUAAUUCGAAGAUACACGAAGAACCUUACCUAGGCUUGACAUUGAGAGAAUCCGCUAGAAAUAGUGGAGUGUCUAGCUUGCUAGACCUUGAAAACAGGUGCUGCACGGCUGUCGUCAGCUCGUGUCGUGAGAUGUUGGGUUAAGUCCCGCAACGAGCGCAACCCCCUUUCUUAGUUGCUAACAGGUCAUGCUGAGAACUCUAAGGAUACUGCCUCCGUAAGGAGGAGGAAGGUGGGGACGACGUCAAGUCAUCAUGGCCCUUACGCCUAGGGCUACACACGUGCUACAAUGGGGUGCACAAAGAGAAGCAAUACUGCGAAGUGGAGCCAAUCUUCAAAACACCUCUCAGUUCGGAUUGUAGGCUGCAACUCGCCUGCAUGAAGCUGGAAUCGCUAGUAAUCGCAAAUCAGCCAUGUUGCGGUGAAUACGUUCCCGGGUCUUGUACUCACCGCCCGUCACACCAUGGGAGUUGUGUUUGCCUUAAGUCAGGAUGCUAAACCAGCUACUGCCCACGGCACACACAGCGACUGGGGUGAAGUCGUAACAAGGUAACCGUAGGUGAACCUGCGGUUG
This 1483-nucleotide ribosomal RNA is filed under the name Helicobacter pylori. RNAcentral's name for it is "bacterial SSU rRNA". It matches the Rfam family "Bacterial small subunit ribosomal RNA". Lineage: Bacteria; Pseudomonadati; Campylobacterota; Epsilonproteobacteria; Campylobacterales; Helicobacteraceae. The record is from RNAcentral. RNAcentral also lists the same sequence under 1 other name.